CGAAUAAUGUGCAUCAGUUUCUUCACCUGGAGCUCCUGAGAAACCACUGCAGGGGGGAGAAGGCCGCGCAAGUAGUGGGCAUCUCUCUCUUUAUCAUUGAAGGCAAGUCCUUUGUUGUGGUGUGGAUCUCGCAACAAAGAAUAUCCAGCAGCAACAGAGAGGGUCCAAGGCGUGACAAACUGGUCCUCGGUGGCUGUAUCCUCACCGUAAACAUCGCGGACGCCACCAGCAACGGUGGACUUGGGGUCCAAGUCAAGCACAGAGGCUUCGUCUCUCAUUCCCUGAAGCGUGCUCUCCAUCAAGACACUGCCGUUUCGUUCCCUAUUUGGAUUCAG
RNAcentral lists this unclassified non-coding RNA (335 nucleotides) under Hevea brasiliensis (rubber tree). The record is from RNAcentral. Lineage: Eukaryota; Viridiplantae; Streptophyta; Magnoliopsida; Malpighiales; Euphorbiaceae.